RNAcentral lists this ribosomal RNA (305 nucleotides) under uncultured bacterium. RNAcentral's name for it is "bacterial SSU rRNA". It matches the Rfam family "Bacterial small subunit ribosomal RNA", at positions 336 to 659 of the family's 1533-position model. The record is from RNAcentral.
CGCCUACGGGGCGCAGCAGUGGGGAAUAUUGCACAAUGGGGGGAACCCUGAUGCAGCAAUGCCGCGUGGGUGAAGAAGCACUCCGGUGCGUAAAGCCCUGUCAGCAGGGAAGAAAAUGACAGUACCUGGACAAGAAGCCCCGGCUAACUACGUGCCAGCAGCCGCGGUAAUACGUAGGGGGCAAGCGUUAUCCGGAUUUAUUGGGUUUAAAGGGUGCGUAGGCGGGCAUUUAAGCCGGCGGUCAAAUGUCGGGGCUCAACCCCGGCCUGCCGUCGGAACUGGGGGCCUUGAGUGGGCGAGAAGUA